Carya illinoinensis is the source of this 3405-nucleotide RNA transcript. It is a transcript of the gene named pullulanase 1, chloroplastic, with no coding region annotated. Lineage: Eukaryota; Viridiplantae; Streptophyta; Magnoliopsida; Fagales; Juglandaceae. The transcript has 29 exons. The record is from RefSeq and is a predicted model, not a curated record.
GUCGGCAGUGACUCAAUGAAUAGAGACGAUACAGGAAGCAGAGCAGAAAAACUUGAUCCAAAUGGGAGCCACAGAGAGAUAUUUUUUUUUUCUUCUUUAAUUUAUUUAUAGGCAGGCAGCCACAGAAAGCAAGAUUUCUUUCUUCUCUCUCAGCAUUGGAUCCAAAGAAAUUCAAGAUCAAACAUGUUUCCUUCUUUAGCCUCUUCCACUCCCCUCAGUAUUCUCUCCUCAGCACCUUCGCCUCCAACUUCCAUUGCUCACUUCCUUCCUCCUCCUCCCGUCUCGUGUCCUUCGUCUCUGUCUCGACUUCGUGUCAUUCCCGAACCAAACCCUCACCUUCCCCUCUCUCUUCCGUCUCAUUCCACAACCUUCCCCAGACACCACCUUCGAUGCUCCUCCAUGUCCGUGUGUGAGUCCACUUCUACGACUACCCAGCUGCGGGACAGUUUGUUGUACUCGAGAGCAUACUGGGUAAGUGAGUCUACAAUUGCGUGGAAUGUGGAUGUUGGAGAUGAUUCUUGCUACUUAUUCGCCAGUAAAUCUGCUACUUUAUCAUUUACAGAUGAUAAAAUUAGAGGUGAGGACUUCAAAAUUAAGCUCGAAGAGGACAGUGAGGGUCUUCCAGAAAAUGUGACUGAAAAGUUUCCUCACAUCCAAGAUUACCUGGCAUUUAAAGUGCCUCCUGGUUUGGAUACCAAAACUCUACUCAAAUGCCAGUUAGCAGUUGCUGCUCAUAAUUCUGAUGGGAAAUGCACAAAUGCUACUGGUUUGCAGUUACCUGGUGUCCUUGAUGAAUUAUUCUCAUAUAAUGGUCCUCUUGGUGCACUUUUCUUUGAAGAAUCUGUGUUGCUUUACCUCUGGGCUCCUACUGCUCAAGCAGUACGCGCUUGCAUUUAUAGGGAUCCAUCAGGUGGGGAUCCCCUGGAAAUUGUCCAGCUUGAGGAGGUUAACGGUGUUUGGAGUACUGAAGGACCAAAAAGAUGGGAAGGCUGUUACUAUGUCUAUGAAGUGCUUGUAUACCAUCCCAGCACGUUGCGAGUUGAAAAAUGCAUUGCAAAUGAUCCAUAUGCUAGAGGGCUCUCUUCAGAUGGCAGGCGGACAUUUUUGGUGAACUUUGAUUCCGAUAGAUUAAAACCUGAAGGAUGGGAUGAUUUGGCAAAUGAGAAACCCAAAAUAAGUUCUUUCUCAGACAUAAGUAUUUAUGAAUUGCAUAUAAGGGAUUUCAGUGCUAAUGACCAUACUGUGCCUCCUGAAUUUCGUGGUGGUUAUCUGGCUUUCACUUUGCAGGGUUCAUCAGGUGUGCUUCAUCUGAAGAAACUAUCAGAUGCUGGUAUCACUCAUGUCCAUCUGCUUCCAACCUUCCAAUUUGCUGGUGUUGAUGAUGAGAAGGUGAACUGGAAGUGUGUGGAUACCAAGAUGCUGGAGCAAUUACCUCCUGAUUCAGAUGAGCAACAAGCUCUAAUUACUGAAAUCCAAAAUGAUGAUGGAUAUAACUGGGGGUACAAUCCUGUUCUCUGGGGUGUCCCUAAAGGAAGUUAUGCAAGUAACCCAAAUGGUCCUUGCCGUAUAAUUGAGUUUAGAAAGAUGAUUCAGGCACUUAACCGUAUUGGCCUUCGUGUUGUAUUGGAUGUCGUCUACAAUCAUUUGCAAGGAAGCGGGCCCUUUGAUGAGAAUUCUGUCCUUGAUAAGAUUGUUCCAGGUUACUAUCUGAGACGGAACACAGAUGGUUUUAUUGAGCAUAGUACAUGCACGAACAACACUGCCAGUGAGCAUGUUAUGGUUGAGCGACUGAUUCUCGAUGAUCUUCUUCACUGGGCAAUUCAUCAUAAGGUUGAUGGGUUCCGGUUUGACCUCAUGGGUCAUAUAAUGAAAAGUACGAUGGUGAAAGCAAAGGAUGCACUCCACAGCCUAACAAAGGAAAUGGAUGGGAUUGAUGGUUCGAGUAUCUAUAUAUAUGGUGAAGGAUGGGACUUUGGUGAAGUUGCCAAAAAUGGACGUGGGGUGAAUGCAUCACAGUUUAAUCUCGGUGGAACAGGAAUCGGGAGCUUUAAUGAUCGUAUUCGGGAUGCAAUUCUUGGUGGAUCUCCAUUUGGCCAUCCUCUUCAGCAAGGAUUUGCGACCGGUCUAUUAUUGCAGCCUAAUGGACAUGAUCAGGGUACAGAAGCCGUUGCAGAAUGCAUGCUUGCUGUGGCGAAGGAUCACAUCCAGGUUGGUAUGGCUGCAAACUUGAGGGAUUUUGUGAUAACUAAUUAUCAAGGGGAAGAGGUAAAAGGAUCAGAAGUAUUAACUCAUGAUGGGACACCUGUUGCAUAUGCCUUAUGUUCCACAGAAACUGUUAAUUAUGUUUCUGCUCAUGACAAUGAGACCCUAUUUGACAUAGUGAGUUUGAAGACACCAAAGGAAAUUUCUGUAGAUGAGAGGUGCAGGAUAAAUCAUUUGGCAACAGGUGUAAUAGCUCUGUCACAGGGAAUACCUUUUUUCCACUCUGGCGAUGAGAUUCUUCGCUCAAAAUCUCUUGAUCGUGAUUCAUACAACUCUGGUGAUUGGUUCAACAGGCUUGACUUUACUUACAAUUCUAACAAUUGGGGUGUCGGCCUUCCUCCAAAAGAGAAGAACGAAAAGACCUGGCCACUAAUUAAACCUAGAUUAGCAGAUCCAUCCUUCAAGCCUCAGCCAGGUCACAUUCUUGCUGCUGUGGACAAUUUUUUAAACCUGUUGCGCAUAAGAUACUCUUCACCACUUUUCCGGUUGAGGACCGCAAAUGCUAUCCAGGAAAGGGUACAUUUCCACAACACUGGACCAUCAGGGGCCCCUGGUGUGAUAGUCAUGAGCAUUCAAGAUGGUCGUGAAGGUGUCUCAGGGUUAUCUCAACUGGAUCCCACGUACUCAUACAUUGUGGUUAUCAUCAAUGCAUGUCCGACUAAGGUGUCAUUUGCUUGCUCUGCACUGCGGGCAAGAACUCUUAAAUUGCAUCCAGUUCAGGCAAUGUCGACUGAUGAACUGGUCAAGAGUUCAACAUAUGAAGCAUCUUCUGGGAGCUUAGCUGUGCCCCCAAGGACAACAGUUGUUUUUGUUGAGCCUCGUGAGGUUUGAGUGGCUCUGAUGCCAGAUGAAUGUGGCUGUUCACUCUGCACUUCAUUUGUUAAAAGUUUGUUGUCAAUAUGGCAUAGAGGAUUUUCGGUUUCCAUGGCCGAUUACGAAUGUUGGCGUGUUGAUCGUUUUACUAGGAGCAAACCGUUUACUGUCUCUCAAAACAAAAAUGUUAUAUUUAUGUUAGUUGAUUUGACAAAAUUUUGCAUCAAUUGUGUGCUUGAUAUGGCAAUAAACAAGCCUGUAAACAUAAUUUUUCACCAAGGUUGAUCUCAUGCUUGACCUUUAAUAACUUGAGAUUUGAUGUUUUUUAAA